UACUUGGUUGAUCCUGCCAAGGAAGCACACUUAGGUCAUAGAUUAAGCCAUGCAAGUGUUAGUUCAGGUAACGAAACUGCGAAUAGCUCAUUAAUACGCUCAGAAUCUAUUUGGCGGCGACCAACAGGUCUUAAAUGGAUAGCAGCAGCAACUCUGGUGCUAAUACAUGCGAUUGUUUCUCCAGAUGUGAAUUAUGGAGGAAAAGUUGACCUCAUCAGAGGCACGCCAUUCGACUGAGUGACCUAUCAGCUUGUACUUAGGGUCUUUACCUAGGUAGGCUAUCACGGGUAACGGGCGGUUACCGUCGGACUGCCGGAGAAGGCGCCUGAGAGAUAGCGACUAUAUCCACGGGUAGCAGCAGGCGCGAAACUUUCCCACUCGAGACUUUCGGAGGAGGUAAUGACCAGUUCCAUUGGUGCCUUUUGGUACUGUGGAUAGGGGUACGGUUUUCCACCGUACCGAAACCUAGCAGAGGGCCAGUCUGGUGCCAGCAGCUGCGGUAAUUCCAGCUCUGCGAGUUUGCUCCCAUAUUGUUGCAGUUAAAACGCCCGUAGUCUGAAUUGGCCAGCAAUGGUCGUACGUAUUUUUACGUUCACUGUGAACAAAUCAGGACGCUUAGAGUAUGGCCACAUGAAUGACUCAGCGCAGUAUGAAGUCUUGU
RNAcentral lists this non-coding RNA (661 nucleotides) under Trichomonas vaginalis G3. Its description in RNAcentral is "Eukaryotic small subunit ribosomal RNA". It matches the Rfam family "Eukaryotic small subunit ribosomal RNA", at positions 1 to 825 of the family's 1831-position model. Lineage: Eukaryota; Parabasalia; Trichomonadida; Trichomonadidae. The record is from Rfam by way of RNAcentral.